Molecule: long non-coding RNA, 3687 nt
Filed under: Homo sapiens (human)
Lineage: Eukaryota; Metazoa; Chordata; Mammalia; Primates; Hominidae
Description: HSALNT0339475
Source: RNAcentral
CAAUGCAAUAUUUUAUGGAUCUAAAUGUUUUAUAACAAAUUCAUCCCUGUGACAUAUUUCCAUAUAGAUUUUAACUUUUAUGAGAUUUGAGAGCACAUCUUAUGUCACACACACUUUAUCAUUACAGUGGCAACGCAGCACCCUGAUCAUCAUAGAUAAUCUGUGAAUUCUUUCACCUGGUAGCAGCAUUUUUUUAAAUCCUCCUUUUAUAACAUGGUUGGACUGGGAAGAAGAAUGUAUCUCUCAUAAUUAUCUUCUACUUUUAUUGUAUGAAUAUGUAAAGCAGAAAACCUUACUAUUUCAGUAAAUUCAUACUUGCCACUAAAGUAGAAAGUAAACUUUAUCUACUUAAAAGAAAUCGGGAAAAUACAUAUUUUUAAUCCAAGGAAUGCUAAAGCUCGUACUUGUUCCAAUUGUUGGGUGUUUGGGGAAGGACAGGAAUUGUGUGUAUUGUAAUUAUGACUAUCGAAACUACAGACUUCCAUCAGAAUCUCUGUUCCCAAUCGUAGCCAGCAUUAUUCUCAUCCUAGAUUUGUUGCCAGUUGUGUAAGGGUCAUGUGGAGGUGAACAGAAUAUGAGGUAUCUGGCUCCAAUUCCAUUUGGAACAUUAAAGUGACUCCAGAUUGAUAAAAUAGAGAGAGAGAACAGCAUGCUUGACUACAAAGAUCCUAAGCCAGAGUGAGCCAAAUGGUACAUUCUCGACUAACGGUGACUAACAAUGAAAGAGAGAAGAGAUCUUAGGAGUGGAAUUGAAGCUUCAUUUUAUCAGGGCUUACUUUAGGAUGUAGGUAGAAUAAAUGAGAAUGUUUGUCAGAAAGAUAGUGAGGAGUAAAUGGGCGUAAAUAGCUGACACAAAGAUAAGAAAGCUGUCAACAUUUUCUGCAAGGGUAUGAAAAUUCACCUUUUCAGGGUCACAUGCUGGCUGCCAGUGAAACGAUGGUAAAAAAGAGUUAAGGAAGCUAAAAACAGAAACUCUAGGGAUGGCCUCAGAAUGUGGAAGAGAGGAAAUUCCACUGGAUGUCUAUUUGAAAGAUUGACAAGAGGAAGGAUAUGUAAUAAAGAAGUCAAAAAAGAUGAAAAUGGAUUAAAACUUGAAAGGAUUAUUACCGAUUCCCUGAUUUUGGUCUAACACCAUUGCUUAGGCGCCACACAAGUAUUUUACGUAAACUAUGAAUAAAAUGCAGUUGUCAUCUAUGUUUUACAAAUGAGAAAACUGGGAUUUAAAAAAAUUAACAACUUGCCUAAAGUCAUGUUAUUGCUUAGAAGGGCCAAGUCAGGACCCAAAUGCAGGUUUAUUUAGUUCCACAGCCCUUGCUAUAGUUAACCAUCAGGCUGAAAUUCCAUCAUUUCUCAAAGCACCUCCUUUCUCCUACUCUGAUCAAACAUGUAUUCUCUGGCCUGAACAUGUAAAAUUGUUUUCAAAUUGCUCAUGCAAGAAAAUUGCUGAAUAUAUUUGUUCAUAUUCCCCUACAUAACUGUGUAUCAUGCUUUAUUAUAUCAGACUGACUAGCUCUGCACAAUUGGUUUUGCUUACCCCUUAGCACAAUGCCAUAUGUAAAUAAAUACUAUUACUAUAGAUGAUUAUACUCAUUAGAAAACACUCAAAGGAACGAGACUGCAGAGAUUCCUGGAAUCAGAAAAUUUGUACAUGUAAACUAGAGACAUAUUUCACUUAUAAAUAGUGUGAAAUUUCUUUUUCCAAACUUUUCCAUUCCUCAGAUAUUAAAAUCAAAAGUGUUCCUUAUUUGUUUAUGUGCUAAUUCAAAUACGUAGCUAAAUAAUUAUAUUUUAGGAAAUCCAACAAGAUAUCCUGAGGUAAGCAUAUUUUUAUUUAUUUCAGUGAUGCAGUUCAUUCAAUCAUUUCCCCCUGCCCUUGUCAAUUGUUUCAGUUGCUCACAGGCAAUUCUAUUAGAAAUAAAAUAUUGUUAGAGGGGGUUCUCAAAACUGCUUUAUCUUCAUUAUAUUGAAAAUUCUAUUCCAAACGAAUCUUUGGGGAAAUCUUUUUUACUCACAUACUUUUCUUUCAUAGUUUGGUUUCAAACACAGAGAGUUAUUCCUGCCAAAGCCUCAUUUUUCUCCUUCUUUUUUGGCUAAAAGCAAUCUUCUGGAGCCUGUUCAUUCCCCUACCCCUCCACAGAUCUCACCAUGAUGACUCUCCUAAGGACACAUUAGAGGGCUUUGCCCUAAUCCAUAUUUUACUAAACAGCCCCAGGAGUGAGAAGAACCUUCACUAGGAUUUGAUUAAACAAAUUCUUAAAGCCAAUAAAACGUUUUCAAGUUGUAAGAGAAAGCAGCAUUAGUGCAUGUUCCCAAGCAGGGCAGACAUUUCACUGUUGUCAUCCUUAAGGAAGACAGUUUGGGAUGCAGUACAUUCUCCCUGAGACUCAUUCCAGAGGCUUCAGCCUCCAGCAACAGUUGCCUGUGAGGGUAGCUUUAUUGCAUAGCACAAUGCAGUUGUGACUGAAGCUGUUUCCAAACACUUUAGGGCAAUUUCAUGUGUAACUUUUCCUCUGCCACUUUACAGGGUUCCUGAAAGGGUAGAAGAAAAUACAGUAGGGCAGGGCUCAAGACCUUACAGUGGAAGAGUUAUGCUCUCCAUAAACAAUAUGACCUUCCAGGAGAGAAGAAAGAAUAGCGGAAGCCAUGUACUUGCUUGAGAAUAUAACAAAGAGACAUACUGGUUUGCAGGAAUUUUGAGUCAAAGAGUAAGUCCUUGAUUCGUUCUUGUGAAAAAUGCUCCAUGAGAAAUAGGAAACAUGGUCUGUAAACUGCUAUUAUAUUAUAAAGCUUACUUUUCUGACCUGGAAAAUUUUAUUUACACAAAAAAGUCAUUGUUGGAAAAAUUUUCUUUUCGAAAAAUAUUUUCACAAUUCAGAGAAGCUUCUAUAGUAAUUAAAAAGUGCGUACAUAUUUAUUUGAGAUAUUUUUAAUAACCCAUUAAACCUAGUGAAAAUAAAUGAAGGCGGAAGUCUAGAGACAUGAGAUCUGGUUGUGGUUUUGUUAGUCUUCAUCUCUGUGACUUAAGCAUAGUUACUUAAUUUUUCUGUUACUUUUAAAAUUAGAAAUAUAAACGGUUGUAAAAUUUUGUAAUGGUUUCAGAGGGAUGAGAACAUCUUAAAAAAUGAUAUUAAUACAAAAAAUACACAAAGGUACUAUGUAUAUAUUAUCUCAUUUAAUCAUAAAAACAAAAUAAGAUAGUGCAGAGAAGCAUUGAGGCAUAGUGCCUAGUGCAUGGAAAACGUUCAACAUCACUGGCAGGUAUUAUAAUUCUAUCAUCAAUAACAACAACACAGCCAGGAUGAAAUUAAUGUUCCCUUUUCAGUCAAGAAUAUAAUCUUCAAGAGGUUGGGUGGCAUUCCUGGGAUAAUUCUGAUGGCCCAGGCCAGAAUUAUGAUGUUUUCUGCUGGACGACCAGGCUGUGCUUUCACCCUUACGACCACAUUGCCCUCCGCAGUCCUUGAUAACUUAAGCAGAAUGUUUCGAGCAGAAAGUCAUCUUUUCUAUUUAAAUUGUAAUUCCCAACGUAUUGCUUGAAAACACCUCAAAAUGGUAUUUUACAUAUCUACUGCAUGACUUUUGACCUGCUUUUCCCCUAAAGUUUGGAUUAAACUUGAAGAAUAUCAGUAUACAGAACCACCCUUUCUGCCAGUUUUAACUGGAACCGAAGAGGUGUGAUAUACAGAGUAU